CUUCAGUUUAUUUGGCGCAUUAUUUCGACAAACAUUUUCGACUUUCCAAUAGACCAUAAUCCUUUGCGGUCCAGGGUGACUUCCGGUUUAUUUCCGGGUUAUAACGAAGUACAAUAACAGCAGACUAAUUAUCAUUCCAGAUAUUAUUCAAAUAUGCUGAUGUUAUCUUCUGAGAUCAUUGCUUUCAAUGAAGAACAUCACUACAAUUGGUUGGACUGCUAGAUUGGUAGCAACGUGAUGGACAGCUAGUGCCUGUUGAAACACUAAUGUUGGUUGGGCAUCUAUUGCUUACUGGGCCGCUAUAUUGGAUGGACCAUACGUGUUGAUUGAACAAUUAUAAAUGGUUGGACCGGAAGUGUUGGUUGGACCACCAGUGUUGUUUGGACUGCUUGUUGGACAGAAUGUGUGAUGGACAACUAGUGUUAUUUGAAUCACUGUUGGAUAGACAGUUAUUGUUGUUUGGACAGCUAUAAUCAGUUGAUUUACAAGUUUUGGUUGAACAAUAUUUAAUGGAAGCACAUUUUAAGUGUUGGUUGGACUGCAUUUAAUGGAUGGAUAUCUCAGACUACUUGUGCCUGAUUUGACCAAAAUGAAGUGAUGAAGUGAUGAUUGAACUGCUACUGUAGGUUGUCAGGUCAUAUUGGUUGGAUUCCCAUUGCUAGUACUUGUUGGAUCUUUUUGUUGGUUAAAUUAACUGUUGUUUUUUGAGUGUUAUUAUUAAUGAUAUUCAUACAUGUAUAAUAUGUUUAAUAUGUGCUUAGUAUUCAACACUUAUGAUGAUGAUUAUUAUUAUAAGAGAUAUUAUUAUUCAGUAAUCAUAAAUAAUUAUAAAUAUAUAUAAUUAAAUAAAAAAAAUUAUGUCCUUGUA
Molecule: long non-coding RNA, 868 nt
Organism: Mya arenaria
Lineage: Eukaryota; Metazoa; Mollusca; Bivalvia; Myida; Myidae
Exons: 2
Source: RefSeq, a predicted model, not a curated record